RNAcentral lists this ribosomal RNA (254 nucleotides) under uncultured bacterium. Its description in RNAcentral is "partial 16S ribosomal RNA". It matches the Rfam family "Bacterial small subunit ribosomal RNA", at positions 524 to 776 of the family's 1533-position model. The record is from RNAcentral.
UACGUAGGGACCAAGCGUUGUUCGGAUUUACUGGGCGUAAAGGGCGCGCAGGCGGCGGUUGCAGGCCCGGCGUGAAAGCCCCCGGCUCAACCGGGGAGGGUCGUCGGGGACCGCACCGCUUGAGGGCGGUAGGGGCUGGUGGAAUGCCUGGUGUAGUGGUGAAAUGCGUAGAGAUCAGGCGGAACACCCGUGGCGAAGGCGGCCAGCUGGGCCGUCCCUGACGCUGAGGCGCGAAGGCGUGGGGAGCGAACAGG